RNAcentral lists this ribosomal RNA (915 nucleotides) under uncultured Bacteroidota bacterium. RNAcentral's name for it is "bacterial SSU rRNA". It matches the Rfam family "Bacterial small subunit ribosomal RNA", at positions 11 to 916 of the family's 1533-position model. The record is from RNAcentral. Lineage: Bacteria; Pseudomonadati; Bacteroidota.
CUUUGAUUAAGGCUCAGGAUGAACGCUAGCUACAGGCUUAACACAUGCAAGUCGAGGGGAAACGACAUCGAAAGCUUGCUUUUGAUGGGCGUCGACCGGCGCACGGGUGAGUAACGCGUAUCCAACCUGCCCACCACUUGGGGAUAACCUUGCGAAAGUAAGACUAAUACCCAAUGACGUCUCUAGAAGACAUCUGAAAGAGAUUAAAGAUUUAUCGGUGAUGGAUGGGGAUGCGUCUGAUUAGCUUGUUGGCGGGGUAACGGCCCACCAAGGCAACGAUCAGUAGGGGUUCUGAGAGGAAGGUCCCCCACAUUGGAACUGAGACACGGUCCAAACUCCUACGGGAGGCAGCAGUGAGGAAUAUUGGUCAAUGGACGAGAGUCUGAACCAGCCAAGUAGCGUGCAGGAUGACGGCCCUAUGGGUUGUAAACUGCUUUUAUAAGGGAAUAAAGUGAGUCUCGUGAGACUUUUUGCAUGUACCUUAUGAAUAAGGACCGGCUAAUUCCGUGCCAGCAGCCGCGGUAAUACGGAAGGUCCGGGCGUUAUCCGGAUUUAUUGGGUUUAAAGGGACCGUAGGCCGGAGAUUAAGCGUGUUGUGAAAUGUAGACGCUCAACGUCUGCACUGCAGCGCGAACUGGUUUCCUUGAGUACGCACAAAGUGGGCGGAAUUCGUGGUGUAGCGGUGAAAUGCUUAGAUAUCACGAAGAACUCCGAUUGCGAAGGCAGCUCACUGGAGCGCAACUGACGCUGAAGCUCGAAAGUGCGGGUAUCGAACAGGAUUAGAUACCCUGGUAGUCCGCACGGUAAACGAUGGAUGCCCGCUGUUGGUCUGAAUAGGUCAGCGGCCAAGCGAAAGCAUUAAGCAUCCCACCUGGGGAGUACGCCGGCAACGGUGCAACUCAAAUGAAUUGACGG